ACGGCUUUAAACAGAAAAUAAUAGGAAUAUAGAAUAAAUAAAAGAAUGUUGAAUUCUAGAAAGCCUUAACAUUGGAAGAAUAUGGUAUAGUGCUUAAGAAAGAACAAGUCAAUGACAAGCACAUACACUACUUGGACAUCAAUGUAAGAAUGGAAGGAGUUGGGAUACAGACUUCUGUCUAUAGAAAGAAAACCUACCAUCUGAUCCUAAUUCUGUGGUGGUCUGUGGACACAAUAGCCUACAAAGCAGCAGCAUUCAACUUUUAUUUCAGGAGAGCAUAUAACUACAUAGCUGAGGACCGUGAGCUAAAGAGCUCGAUUAUAUAUAUAAAAUGGGUUAUGAGCACGGAUAUAGUAAAAGUUUCCUACGUAAUAUACACUGUAAGAUUAGGAAACCCCUAGAGAGAGAGGAAGGAACGCCAAUCAACCUGAAAAGGAAAAGGAGAGAUACUUAACUGUACCAUACCAGACCAGUAAACUAAAUGUUGUAAGGGAGAUCAUACGCAAAACCAAAAGAGAAAUAGCUGCUGCUAGGCCACCAACACUCUUCAACACUCUCUGAAAUGAAAAAGACCCGCAGAUCCAGUAUGAGAUCCCUGGAUCCGCAGGUCUUUAUAACAUACCAAUUAAUUACCCUACCGAAAAUAGAAAAGCCAGCUACAUUGGCGUUACAAUGAGAACGCUUGCAUAGAGAAUAGUAGAACAUAAAACAGAUAUUAGAACGGGUAGAAUGAACACGGUGCUGGCAGAAGAAGCAUAUACUAAGAAUGUACAGAUAGAAUGGAACCAAGCUAGGAUAGUAAAACCAAUUGCUUUGGCAGCACAAGCAACUUUACAAGAAACUAUGGAAAUAACUGUAGGUAAGCAU
RNAcentral lists this long non-coding RNA (867 nucleotides) under Androctonus crassicauda. The record is from RNAcentral. Lineage: Eukaryota; Metazoa; Arthropoda; Arachnida; Scorpiones; Buthidae.